GAUGAACGCUAGCGGCAGGCCUAACACAUGCAAGUCGAGGGGCAUCAUGAUUAUAGUUUACUAUAAUUGAUGGCGACCGGCGCACGGGUGCGUAACGCGUAUGCAACCUACCUUUAACAGGGGGAUAAUCCGAAGAAAUUUGGUCUAAUACCCCAUAAUAUUAUAUAUGGCAUCAUUUAUAAUUGAAAUAUUCAUAGGUUAAAGAUGGGCAUGCGUGACAUUAGCUAGAUGGAGUGGUAACGGCACACCAUGGCAAUUAUGUCUAGGGGAACUGAGAGGUUAAUCCCCCACACUGGUACUGAGACACGGACCAGACUCCUACGGGAGGCAGCAGUGAGGAAUAUUGGUCAAUGGACGGAAGUCUGAACCAGCCAUGCCGCGUGCAGGAUGACGGCUCUAUGAGUUGUAAACUGCUUUUGUAAGAGGGUAAUUGUUAGUACGCGUACUAACUUGAAAGUAUCUUACGAAUAAGGAUCGGCUAACUCCGUGCCAACAGCCGCGGUAAUACGGAGGAUCCGAGCGUUAUCCGGAUUUAUUGGGUUUAAAGGGUGCGUAGGUUGCGGCAUAAGUCAGUGGUUAAAUACGAUAGCUCAACUAUCGAUCUGCCAUUGAAACUGUGUUGCUAGAGAUUGGUUUGCAGCAGGCGGAAUGUGUAGUGGUAGCGGUGAAUGCAUAGAUAUUACACAGAAACAUCCGAAUUGCGAAGGCAGCUUGCUAAAGCCAUAUUCUGACACUGAUUGCCCG
This 744-nucleotide ribosomal RNA is filed under the name uncultured bacterium. RNAcentral's name for it is "bacterial SSU rRNA". It matches the Rfam family "Bacterial small subunit ribosomal RNA", at positions 28 to 755 of the family's 1533-position model. The record is from RNAcentral.